UAAACUCAAAUUUGUAUGGAGUUGAAACGUUUGCCUACAUUGCCGCUAGGGGCGCUGUUCCAACUGCAUACAAAUUUGAGUUC
Non-coding RNA from Bombyx mori (domestic silkworm), 83 nucleotides. The record is from Rfam. Lineage: Eukaryota; Metazoa; Arthropoda; Insecta; Lepidoptera; Bombycidae.